This is a non-coding RNA of Podarcis lilfordi (Lilford's wall lizard), 74 nucleotides long. The record is from the annotation of a GenBank genome assembly. NCBI's taxonomy places the organism in Eukaryota, Metazoa, Chordata, Lepidosauria, Squamata, Lacertidae.
GCCUAGAUAGCCCAGCUGGUUAGAGCAUGGCGGUGAUAGCGCCACGGUUGCAGGUUUGAUCCCUGUAUGGGACA